CCUACGGGGGGCUGCAGUAGGGAAUAUUGGACAAUGGGCGCAAGCCUGAUCCAGCCAUCCCGCGUGAAGGAUUAAGGUCCUAUGGAUUGUAAACUUCUUUUCUCUGGGAAUAAAAAGCGGGGUUCACCCUGCCUUGAAGGUAUCAGAGGAAUAAGCACCGGCUAACUCCGUGCCAGCAGCCGCGGUAAUACGGAGGGUGCAAGCGUUAUCCGGAUUCACUGGGUUUAAAGGGAGCGUAGGUGGCUUUGUAAGUCAGUGGUGAAAUGUCGCGGCUUAACCGCGAAACUGCCAUUGAUACUGCUUAGCUUGAAUCACGUCGAGGUGGAUGGAAUAAUACAUGUAGCGGUGAAAUGCUUAGAUAUGUAUUAGAACACCGAUUGCGAAGGCAGUUCACUAGGCGUGUAUUGACACUGAGGCUCGAAAGCGUGGGGAUCAAACAGGAUUAGAUACCCGUAGUCCU
Molecule: ribosomal RNA, 460 nt
Filed under: uncultured Saprospirales bacterium
Lineage: Bacteria; Pseudomonadati; Bacteroidota; Saprospiria; Saprospirales
Description: bacterial SSU rRNA
Rfam family: Bacterial small subunit ribosomal RNA
Source: RNAcentral